This 468-nucleotide ribosomal RNA is filed under the name uncultured bacterium. RNAcentral's name for it is "partial 16S ribosomal RNA". It matches the Rfam family "Bacterial small subunit ribosomal RNA", at positions 28 to 507 of the family's 1533-position model. The record is from RNAcentral.
GACGAACGCUGGCGGCGUGCUUAGCACAUGCAAGUCGAACGGAAAGGCCCUGCCUUUGUGGGGUGCUCGAGUGGCGAACGGGUGAGUAACACGUGAGUAACCUGCCCUUGACUUUGGGAUAACUUCAGGAAACUGGGGCUAAUACCGGAUAGGAGCUCCUGCUGCAUGGUGGGGGUUGGAAAGUUUCGGCGGUUGGGGAUGGACUCGCGGCUUAUCAGCUUGUUGGUGGGGUAGUGGCUUACCAAGGCUUUGACGGGUAGCCGGCCUGAGAGGGUGACCGGCCACAUUGGGACUGAGAUACGGCCCAGACUCCUACGGGAGGCAGCAGUGGGGAAUAUUGCACAAUGGGCGGAAGCCUGAUGCAGCAACGCCGCGUGCGGGAUGACGGCCUUCGGGUUGUAAACCGCUUUCGCCUGUGACGAAGCGUGAGUGACGGUAAUGGGUAAAGAAGCACCGGCUAACUACGUG